CCUACGGGUGGCAGCAGUGAGGAAUAUUGGUCAAUGGACGAGAGUCUGAACCAGCCAAGUAGCGUGAAGGAUGACUGCCCCAUGGGUUGUAAACUUCUUUUAUAUGGGAAUAAAACGUUCCACGUGUGGGAUUUUGUAUGUACCAUAUGAAUAAGGAUCGGCUAACUCCGUGCCAGCAGCCGCGGUAAUACGGAGGAUCCGAGCGUUAUCCGGAUUUAUUGGGUUUAAAGGGAGCGUAGGUGGAUUGUUAAGUCAGUUGUGAAAGUUUGCGGCUCAACCGUAAAAUUGCAGUUGAAACUGGCAGUCUUGAGUACAGUAGAGGUGGGCGGAAUUCGUGGUGUAGCGGUGAAAUGCUUAGAUAUCACGAAGAACUCCGAUUGCGAAGGCAGUUCACUGGACUGCAACUGACACUGAGGCUCGAAAGUGUGGGUAUCAAACAGGAUUAGAUACCCUAGUAGUC
This 460-nucleotide ribosomal RNA is filed under the name uncultured bacterium. RNAcentral's name for it is "partial 16S ribosomal RNA". It matches the Rfam family "Bacterial small subunit ribosomal RNA", at positions 338 to 795 of the family's 1533-position model. The record is from RNAcentral.